This 84-nucleotide transfer RNA is filed under the name Felis catus (domestic cat). It matches the Rfam family "tRNA". Rfam says of the family: Transfer RNA (tRNA) molecules are approximately 80 nucleotides in length. Their secondary structure includes four short double-helical elements and three loops (D, anti-codon, and T loops). Lineage: Eukaryota; Metazoa; Chordata; Mammalia; Carnivora; Felidae. The record is from Rfam by way of RNAcentral.
GCCUGGGUGGCUAAGUCAGUUAAGCAUCUGACUUCGGCCCAGGUUGUGAUCUCAUGGUUGUGGGUUCGAGCCCUACAUCAGGCU